AAUACUAUGACUGAUAAAAGUGAUAAAUUGUAAAUUUAUUUAUGAAAUAAAAAUUUCUAGUAUUA
RNAcentral lists this transfer RNA (65 nucleotides) under Allorhynchium sp. YN. Its description in RNAcentral is "tRNA-Tyr". The record is from RNAcentral. Lineage: Eukaryota; Metazoa; Arthropoda; Insecta; Hymenoptera; Vespidae.